UGCCAGCAGCCGCGGUAAUACGGAGGGUGCAAGCGUUAUCCGGAAUCACUGGGUUUAAAGGGUGCGUAGGCGGUGGUGUAAGUCAGAAGUGAAAGUUCACAGCUUAACUGUAAAAUUGCUUUUGAUACUGCAUCACUUGAAUUAGGUUGAGGUUGGCGGAAUGUGGCAUGUAGCGGUGAAAUGCUUGGAUAUGCCAUAGAACACCAAUUGCGUAGGCAGCUGACUGGACCUUUAUUGACACUGAGGCACGAAAGCGUGGGGAGCGAACGGGAUUAGAUA
This 279-nucleotide ribosomal RNA is filed under the name uncultured bacterium. Its description in RNAcentral is "partial 16S ribosomal RNA". It matches the Rfam family "Bacterial small subunit ribosomal RNA", at positions 506 to 784 of the family's 1533-position model. The record is from RNAcentral.